AAUAAGUGCAGUUUUGCACUAUUCACGUUCAACGUUUGACCGUUCGUCUUAUUUGAAAUUUUUUUGUGAUUAGUAUUUUUAUUGCUAUUAGAUGAUAAAACAUGAAUAAUAUUUUAUGUGUGACUAAAUAUUUUUAAAUUUUUCAUAAAUUUUUCAAAUAAGACGGACGGUCAAAUGUUGGGCACAGAUAUUCACGGCUACACUUAUU
Molecule: non-coding RNA, 208 nt
Organism: Oryza barthii
Lineage: Eukaryota; Viridiplantae; Streptophyta; Magnoliopsida; Poales; Poaceae
Source: Rfam